RNAcentral lists this unclassified non-coding RNA (296 nucleotides) under Hevea brasiliensis (rubber tree). The record is from RNAcentral. Lineage: Eukaryota; Viridiplantae; Streptophyta; Magnoliopsida; Malpighiales; Euphorbiaceae.
AAAAUACAUUCCUGCAAUAUCAGCAAUGCCUGGAAAAGUUGUCUGCUGUAGAGAGGGAUCUCAGUGCUGCACACGUGGACUCGCUUAAGUUCAAUGAACGAGCCAGUGAAGCGGGAAAUGAAGCUCAGAAGUUGAAGGAAUCACUUAUCAAACUGGAGGCUGAAAGAGAUGCUGCUCUGAGCAAGCACAAGGAGUAUUUGGAACGGAUAUCCAGUUUGGAGGAUAAGGCUUCUCAAGCACAUGAAGACACGAAAGGAGUAAAUGAGCGAGCAAUUAAGGCGGAAAGUGAAGUUCAG